RNAcentral lists this ribosomal RNA (218 nucleotides) under uncultured bacterium. Its description in RNAcentral is "partial 16S ribosomal RNA". It matches the Rfam family "Bacterial small subunit ribosomal RNA", at positions 326 to 539 of the family's 1533-position model. The record is from RNAcentral.
ACGCUCGACACCUACGGAAGGCAGCAGUGAGGAAUAUUGGUCAAUGGGCGCAGGCCUGAACCAGCCAAGUAGCGUGAAGGAUGACUGCCCUAUGGGUUGUAAACUUCUUUUAUAUGGGAAUAAAGUUUUCCACGUGUGGAAUUUUGUAUGUACCAUAUGAAUAAGGAUCGGCUAACUCCGUGCUAGCAGCCGCGGUAAUCUGAGCGGGCUGGCAAGGC